Molecule: ribosomal RNA, 332 nt
Filed under: uncultured Glomeromycotina
Lineage: Eukaryota; Fungi; Glomeromycota
Description: eukaryotic LSU rRNA
Source: RNAcentral
CAGUCGUACCGACGGAAAAUCAGCUCUUCGAGUGCGGACUUGUGGGUUACUUGAGCUUUACGGCCUCGUUGUUUGCAAUGUUCGUUCUUUUUGGGUGUACUUUUUCGUAUGGUUGGCCAAUAUCAGUUUCGAUCGCUAUAAAAUGACCGGCGGAAUGUAGCUUCGAUCUUGUAUUGAAGUGUUAUAGCCUCUGGUAGAUGUGGUGAUUGGGACUGAGGAUUGCAACGAAUACCUUUUUGGGCUAUCCGUCUGAUCUCUGAAAGUUGCUUAGGUGCCGAAAGCGUGCUUACGGUUAUUUAAGUUGACGGUCAAAAGGUUAGAACGUGAUUAUA